GAUGAACGCUAGCUACAGGCUUAACACAUGCAAGUCGAGGGGUAACGAGAGGAAAGCUUGCUUUCCUUGUCGACGACCGGCGCACGGGUGAGUAACGCGUAUCCAACCUGCCCCCAACUAAGGAAUAACCUUGCGAAAGUAAGACUAAUACCUUAUAAUUUCCUCAGAUGUCAUCUGACGAGGAAUAAAGAUUUAUCGGUUGUGGAUGGGGAUGCGUCUGAUUAGCUUGUUGGCGGGGUAACGGCCCACCAAGGCAACGAUCAGUAGGGGUUCUGAGAGGAAGUUCCCCCCCAUUGGAACUGAGACACGGUCCAAACUCCUACGGGAGGCAGCAGUGAGGAAUAUUGGUCAAUGGGCGAAAGCCUGAACCAGCCAAGUAGCGUGCAGGAUGACGGCCCUAUGGGUUGUAAACUGCUUUUAUACAGGAAUAAAGUUAGCCACGUGUGGUUAAUUGUAGGUACUGUAUGAAUAAGGACCGGCUAAUUCCGUGCCAGCCGCCGCAGUAA
RNAcentral lists this ribosomal RNA (506 nucleotides) under uncultured bacterium. RNAcentral describes it as "partial 16S ribosomal RNA". It matches the Rfam family "Bacterial small subunit ribosomal RNA", at positions 28 to 523 of the family's 1533-position model. The record is from RNAcentral.